CCUACGGGCGGCAGCAGUGAGGAAUAUUGGUCAAUGGACGAGAGUCUGAACCAGCCAAGUAGCGUGAAGGAUGACUGCCCUAUGGGUUGUAAACUUCUUUUAUAUGGGAAUAAAAUGUUCCACGUGUGGGAUUUUGUAUGUACCAUAUGAAUAAGGAUCGGCUAACUCCGUGCCAGCAGCCGCGGUAAUACGGAGGAUCCGAGCGUUAUCCGGAUUUAUUGGGUUUAAAGGGAGCGUAGGUGGAUUGUUAAGUCAGUUGUGAAAGUUUGCGGCUCAACCGUAAAAUUGCAGUUGAAACUGGCAGUCUUGAGUAGAGUAGAGGUAGGCGGAAUUCGUGGUGUAGCGGUGAAAUGCUUAGAUAUCGCGAAGAACUCCGAUUGCGAAGGCAGCGCACUGGACUGAAACUGACACUGAGGCUCGAAAGUGUGGGGAUCAAACAGGAUUAGAUACCCUUGUAGUC
RNAcentral lists this ribosomal RNA (460 nucleotides) under uncultured bacterium. Its description in RNAcentral is "partial 16S ribosomal RNA". It matches the Rfam family "Bacterial small subunit ribosomal RNA", at positions 338 to 795 of the family's 1533-position model. The record is from RNAcentral.